UUAAAGGGGACGUGAACCCAAGGGGGCUGGUGGCCCGUGGCAAGGGGGUGCUGGAAGAGGAGGCUGCGGAGGAAGGGGAGGGUGUGGGAAUGAAGAAGGAUAACCGAGGGGCUUGGAGCUGCUGGAGACCUUGGGAAGGCACAGCAGGGGCUGCCUGGGAAGUGUGACCCCCACAGCCAGGGGGCUGUUCCUGCCCACCCCCCCCUCACUGCAGCCCACCCCCACCACGGCCCCCCAACCCCACCGCCGCACACACGGGUGGCCAUGGCUCCAACACACAACCUAGGGUUUUAUUGUGCAGACAGAGGAACACUCCUGGAGGAUAGAGUUUUGUUGUUGUCGUUGCCUUUUUUCGUCGUUGUUGUUGCUUUUUUUUUUUUUGCUUUUUUCCCUUUUUUUUGUUGUUUUCCUUUUGUCCCCCUUAACAGAAUCUGGGUUUAUACGACAAGCUGUGGAAACAACUACAAAUGUUCACCCCCCCCCAAAAUAGAAUAAAACAAAAAUAAAUGAGA
This is a long non-coding RNA of Apus apus (common swift), 512 nucleotides long. RefSeq lists it as uncharacterized. Lineage: Eukaryota; Metazoa; Chordata; Aves; Apodiformes; Apodidae. The record is from RefSeq and is a predicted model, not a curated record. The transcript has 2 exons.